AAUAUUGGACAAUGGGGGCAACCCUGAACCAGCCAUGCCGCGUGUGUGAAGAAGGUCUUCGGAUUAUACAGCACUUUAAGUUGGGAGUAAGGGCUUUAGGUUAAUACCCUGAAGUCUUGACGUUACCAACUGAAUAAGCACCGGCUAACCCCGUGCCAGAAGCUUCGGUAAUACAGAGGGUGCAAGCGUUAAUCGGAAUUACUGGGCGUAAGGCGCGCGUAGGUUGUUCAGUAAGAUGGGUGUGAAAUCCCCGGGCUUAACCUGGGAACUGCUUUCAUAACUGCUGAGCUAGAGUACGGUAGAGGGUAGUGGAAUUUCCUGUGUAGCGGUGAAAUGCGUAGAUAUAGGAAGGAACACCAGUGGCGAAGGCGACUACCUGGACUGAUACUGACACUGAGGUGCGAAAGCGUGGGGAGCAAACA
Molecule: ribosomal RNA, 422 nt
Filed under: uncultured bacterium
Lineage: Bacteria
Description: partial 16S ribosomal RNA
Rfam family: Bacterial small subunit ribosomal RNA
Source: RNAcentral